GAUGAACGCUGGCGGCGUGCCUAACACAUGCAAGUCGAGCGGACAGACGCGGCUCUUGCUCCUCUGACGUUAGGGGCGGGCGGGUGAGUAACACGUGUAUCCCCGCCCUAUAAGGCUGAGAUCACUACGGGACAGCGGAGCUAAUACCGGAUAAUAUAUUGAACCGCAUGGUUCAAUAGUGAAAGACGGUUUUGCUGGCACUUCUAGAUGUAUCCCGGCUGGAUUAGCUAGUUGUUACGGUAACGGCUUACCACGGCUACGAUGCGUAGCCGACCUGAGAGGGUGAUCGGCCACACUGGAACUGAGACACGGUCCAGACUCCUACGGGAGGCAGCAGUAGGGAAUCUUCCGCAAUGGGCGAAAGCCUGACGGAGCAACGCCGCGUGAGUGAUGAAGGUCUUCGGAUCGUAAAACUCUGUUAUUAGGGAAGAACAGAUGUGUAAUUAACCAUGCCCGUCUUGACGGUACCUAAUCAGAAAGCCACGGCUAACUACGUG
RNAcentral lists this ribosomal RNA (497 nucleotides) under uncultured bacterium. RNAcentral describes it as "partial 16S ribosomal RNA". It matches the Rfam family "Bacterial small subunit ribosomal RNA", at positions 28 to 507 of the family's 1533-position model. The record is from RNAcentral.